AGAGGUUGAUUCUGGCUCAGGAUGAACGCUAGCUACAGGCUUAACACAUGCAAGUCGAGGGGAAACGACAUCGAAAGCUUGCUUUUGAUGGGCGUCGACCGGCGCACGGGUGAGUAACGCGUAUCCAACCUGCCCACCACUUGGGGAUAACCUUGCGAAAGUAAGACUAAUACCCAAUGAUAUCUCUAGAAGACAUCUGAAAGAGAUUAAAGAUUUAUCGGUGAUGGAUGGGGAUGCGUCUGAUUAGCUUGUUGGCGGGGUAACGGCCCACCAAGGCAACGAUCAGUAGGGGUUCUGAGAGGAAGGUCCCCCACAUUGGAACUGAGACACGGUCCAAACUCCUACGGGAGGCAGCAGUGAGGAAUAUUGGUCAAUGGACGAGAGUCUGAACCAGCCAAGUAGCGUGCAGGAAGACGGCCCUAUGGGUUGUAAACUGCUUUUAUAAGGGAAUAAAGUGAGUCUCGUGAGACUUUUUGCAUGUACCUUAUGAAUAAGGACCGGCUAAUUCCGUGCCAGCAGCCGCGGUAAUACGGAAGGUCCGGGCGUUAUCCGGAUUUAUUGGGUUUAAAGGGAGCGUAGGCCGGAGAUUAAGCGUGUUGUGAAAUGUAGAUGCUCAACAUCUGAACUGCAGCGCGAACUGGUUUCCUUGAGUACGCACAAAGUGGGCGGAAUUCGUGGUGUAGCGGUGAAAUGCUUAGAUAUCACGAAGAACUCCGAUUGCGAAGGCGGCUCACUGGAGCGCAACUGACGCUGAAGCUCGAAAGUGCGGGUAUCGAACAGGAUUAGAUACCCUGGUAGUCCGCACGGUA
This 809-nucleotide ribosomal RNA is filed under the name uncultured bacterium. RNAcentral's name for it is "bacterial SSU rRNA". It matches the Rfam family "Bacterial small subunit ribosomal RNA", at positions 8 to 804 of the family's 1533-position model. The record is from RNAcentral.